Molecule: ribosomal RNA, 406 nt
Filed under: uncultured bacterium
Lineage: Bacteria
Description: partial 16S ribosomal RNA
Rfam family: Bacterial small subunit ribosomal RNA
Source: RNAcentral
AUUGAACGCUGGCGGCAGGCCUAACACAUGCAAGUCGAACGAGUGGCGGACGGGUGAGUAAUGUCUGGGCAACUGCCUGAUGGAGGGGGAUAACUACUGGAAACGGUAGCCAAUACCGCAUACCAUCGGAUGUGCCCAGAUGGGAUUAGCUAGUAGGUGGGGGAAAGGCUCACCUAGGCGACGAUCCCGAGCUGGUCUGAGAGGAUGACCAGCCACACUGGAACUGAGACACGGGCCAGACGCCUACGGGAGGCAGCAGUGGGGAAUAUUGGACAAUGGGCGAAAGCCUGAUGCAGCCAUGCCGCGUGUAUGAAGAAGGCCUUCGGGUUGUAAAGUACUUUCAGCAGGGAGGCGUUACCCGCCGAAGAAGCCCCGGCUAAUUACGUGCCAGCAGCCGCGGUAAUAC